Molecule: ribosomal RNA, 465 nt
Filed under: uncultured bacterium
Lineage: Bacteria
Description: bacterial SSU rRNA
Rfam family: Bacterial small subunit ribosomal RNA
Source: RNAcentral
CCAGGCUCCUACGGGAGGCAGCAGUGAGGAAUAUUGGUCAAUGGGCGGAAGCCUGAACCAGCCAAGUCGCGUGAGGGAAGAAGGCCCUGCGGGCCGCAGACCUCUUUGGACGGGGAGCAAGGCCGCCGACGUGUCGGCGGAAGGAGAGUACCCGUAGAACAAGCAUCGGCUAACUCCGUGCCAGCAGCCGCGGUAAUACGGGGGGUGCAAGCGUUGUCCGGAAUCAUUGGGCGUAAAGAGUUCGUAGGCGGCACGUAAAGUCUGGUGUUAAAGGCAGAGGCUCAACUUCUGUACGGCGCUGGAUACUUGCGAGCUAGAAUGCGGUAGAGGUAAAGGGAAUUCCUGGUGUAGCGGUGAAAUGCUUAGAUAUCAGGAGGAACAUCGGUGGCGUAAGCGCUUUACUGGGCCGUAAUUGACGCUGAGGAACGAAAGCCAGGGUAGCAAAUGGGAUUAGAUACCCGUGUA